Molecule: ribosomal RNA, 497 nt
Filed under: uncultured bacterium
Lineage: Bacteria
Description: partial 16S ribosomal RNA
Rfam family: Bacterial small subunit ribosomal RNA
Source: RNAcentral
GACGAACGCUGGCGGCGUGCCUAAUACAUGCAGGUUGAGCGCUGAAGGUUGGUACUUGUACCAACUGGAUGAGCAGCGAACGGGUGAGUAACGCGUGGGGAAUCUGCCUUUGAGCGGGGGACAACAUUUGGAAACGAAUGCUAAUACCGCAUAAAAACUUUAAACACAAGUUUUAAGUUUGAAAGAUGCAAUUGCAUCACUCAAAGAUGAUCCCGCGUUUUAUUAGCUAGUUGGUGAGGUAAAGGCUCACCAAGGCGAUGAUACAUAGCCGACCUGAGAGGGUGAUCGGCCACAUUGGGACUGAGACACGGCCCAAACUCCUACGGGAGGCAGCAGUAGGGAAUCUUCGGGAAUGGACGAAAGUCUGACCGAGCAACGCCGCGUGAGUGAAGAAGGUUUUCGGAUCGUAAAACUCUGUUGGUAGAGAAGAAAGUUGGUGAGAGUGGAAAGCUCAUAAAGUGACGGUAACUACCCAGAAAGGGACGGCUAACUACGUG